Molecule: ribosomal RNA, 363 nt
Filed under: uncultured bacterium
Lineage: Bacteria
Description: bacterial SSU rRNA
Rfam family: Bacterial small subunit ribosomal RNA
Source: RNAcentral
AAUGAACGCUGGCGGCAUGCCUAACACAUGCAAGUCGAACGAGACCUUCGGGUCUAGUGGCGCACGGGUGCGUAACGCGUGGGAAUCUACCCUUGGGUUCGGAAUAACAGUGGGAAACUACUGCUAAUACCGGAUAAUGACGUAAGUCCAAAGAUUUAUCGCCCAAGGAUGAGCCCGCGUAGGAUUAGCUAGUUGGUGAGGUAAAAGCUCACCAAGGCGACGAUCCUUAGCUGGUCNGAGAGAUGAUCAGCCACACUGGGACUGAGACACGGCCCAGACUCCUACGGGAGGCAGCAGUGGGGAAUAUUGGACAAUGGGCGAAGCCUGAUCCAGCAAUGCCGCGUGAGUGAUGAAGCUUAGGUU